UCUAAUGAGAGAAGAACAUGACUUCCCCGUGAGUGCCGGCCCAGCCUCUGAACCUCACGGGCUGCUCUUUUUUCCUUUCUCAAUUCACUCAACAUUGUCAAGUGCUUAUUGUGUGCUGGGAUAUCAUCACAAAUUACAAAUGGUUCCUGUCUCUAAGGAAUUGACAACUUUGCGGGGAAAAAAAACAGGUCAGAAAAACUGUGGAGGACCUGUUUUGCCCUGGCCCAUACUUUUAGAAGUUACGUUUCUAGACUUUUAACUCAGGAAUAUUUCAAUUUACAAUUUCCAAACUGGGGAACGUGGGCUACAUGAAGACUUUCCAGGUGAUACAGGGAUCAAGUAGUUCUUGAAGACUUCAUUUCCAGAUUCUUGACCUUUCUGGGUCCUUUUUCCCAAAAAUGAUCUGUAUAGAAAGCAAUUGGGGCAACUCUUCAUGCUGUUCUCCUUGGCCUCCUCUCCCUCGCAAUCCCUCUGCUUUUACUAUAUCGUAGAGAGGCAGACCUCUCACCUGAGAUCUUAAUCUGAUGUUACCCUGGGGUUUGAAAAAUUCCAUGCCUUCAAUCAAGCAAUCAGUUCAAAAUAUUGGUGUCUGGAGGCAUCCCUCAAUAAAGGCACAACAAAGCCAUGGGGAUGGUCCACACAGGUAAAGCAAGCCAGCAGAAUGAAGGUAUUUUGACCUGAAAAGUACUCUGAACUCAGUCACAUCAUAGAAAACGGGCCUGCCACCAGGAUGGCACUUUGACACUUUUUUAUUAUUACUUCACCUUUUCCAUUCCCGGAGCAUUGUCAAAGAACGCAUCCUUACUGAGAGAAAUUUCUAAAAGAGGGAUGUAGAGAAUCAGCACGGCUACUCUUGCUUUCUUUCUCUAUAAGGGCCUACCUGAUUAGAUGAGACCCACCCACAAUGACCUGUCUUUUGUUUAAUUCCAAGUCAACUGAUUUUCAGCCCGAUCAUGGGGACAUACCUGUUCAUGCUCCAGUUAAUGCCUACAACGAAGGGAAGGGGUUAUAUAAGGCGUAUAUGCCGUGGGGUGGGAAUCUUGGGGACCGGGACAGAAUUUUGCCUACCACAGUAGACACCUUGGCUCUUGAUCAUUUAGAUUCCUCCCAAAUGUGAAAUACAUCCAUCCCUCCAAAUAUUCCCAAGAGUCUCAUCCCACUGUAGUAUCCAUUCAGAGCCCAAAAUCUCACCUACAUUUUAUCAACUCAUAUACAAAAUGUAAACCAGUGCCAGGUGGGAAUAAGGCUGCUAGGUGUAAUCCAUUGAGUACAGUGGCUAGGGCACAAAUUUUCUCCAUCUGUGCAUUUGUGAAAAGAUAUAAAUUAUUUGCUCCCAACAUACUCGGAGGAGUAUGAAGAAUAGUUGCAGAUAUUGUGGUUCCAAAAAUGGUAAAAUGGAACAUACAGCUCUUCCAUUUGCCAUUAAAGGCAGUCCUGAAAUCCAGCUGAGCAAGUGGGAAUUUCCUGAUCAGAUUUCAAGGCCCGGGAAUAAUUCUCCCUGGUUCCCAGAUCCGCUGUUUAGGCUCUUGGUUCUAUCCUCUGACUCCUUCCUUUUUCAUGAAGGAGUUGAGCAAUUUUAGUAGCCAAGCAGCCAGCUUCCUGCAGAGAAUUUUGGGAAUCAACUGUCUUUUUUUUUUUUUUUUUAAUUUCCUGUUCUCUUUGUCCUCUUUAGCCCAAGCUGGCCAUGUUUCUGCUGAAACAAUUUUCUCAAGUUUGUGGGUCUUUAGCGAAUUUUACUGAUUUCACUCCAUUUGAUAAAAGCCACAUCUACGAAUGUUUGCAAGAUAAUCAUUUCACUCUCUUAGGCAGCAGGUGAGCUGACUAAAGGACAACACCCUGAAGCUUCCUAGAGGCCUUCUCACUUGACCAAGGCACACAUUUACCUUCGUGAAAGGGCUUUUGUAUGGCUGAGUAUGCUCACAUUUUAUCUUUCUGAGGUUUAUUUGUUCAUAAAUUGAAGGGCUUCAGGUUGUUUCUAGUUUGGGGCUAUUAUGAAUAAACACUUGUUUACAAGA
Molecule: long non-coding RNA, 2015 nt
Organism: Felis catus (domestic cat)
Lineage: Eukaryota; Metazoa; Chordata; Mammalia; Carnivora; Felidae
Exons: 2
Source: RefSeq, a predicted model, not a curated record